CAGAUUCAUCUCUUUCAUCUCCUAUCCAUCUCUGAAGCUUCAUGUCUUCUCCUCUGAAGUUUCAUCUCUGGAGAACUGCGUGAUUAUAGAACUUCAUCUCUCUUUCAGCUCUAGACCCACUGAAAUCAACAGCCAGGGGUUUCAACUGUGGAUCUGCUUUUUUCUACUCCAGGGAUUUUGAUUUUAGGGUUACAUCUUUGAAUCUGCUAUGAGAAAGCUUGAAAUCGUUCCAGUCGAUUUCCAUUAUUGAAUAAUUUGUCUCAAGUAAAUUAGGUCAAAUUUCUUUUAAGGAGAUUCAAUCAAAUUUCAAAUUUCAGGCAGGUGCUGAUCCAAAUGGUGCACCAGAUGGAAUAAAAGCUCUUCCACUUGCUGCAGGGGUAACACAAAUCAUCAAGCCGCUGGUUGAUGCUGGCGCAGAUUUAGAUGUUAAAAAUAUACUGUUGUCAGUAAUCCUCAAGGUGUUGAGAUUCUUUUUCCUGUGACUUCUCAUAUUCCAUCAUAUGAUGACUGGAGCAUAAAUGGAACAAUGAAGCAUGUGGAAUCUAAGAAGUUCAAGAAAAAGAUGAAUCGUAAUUCAACGGAGUAUUUUUCUUAAGGUAAAAUCAAGGGGAACAAAUGCAUUCCAGAAGGAGUAUUGGCUGGCGGUAUAUUGGUACUCAAAUGUACCUUUUCUCAACAGGAAAUACUCUAAAGUUUAACGUUUGAAUGAAUUUUACUUUAAUUGAUAUAUUUUUUAUGGAAGGUGAAAUAAGAAUGCAUACACCUUCCAAGUAUUAUUUAAUGACUUUUAUGCAUUUCAUAACUUUAUAUUUAAUACAAAUUGGAUGACUUGGGAAUUUCCGCGUUUGAUUUUGAUGGUUGUCUUGCGAACACCGUUGUGAGAAGGUAAUGUAAUUUUUUUGAGAACAAUAUCCGUUUCUACUCUUAGAUUUUUCUGUUGAAUAUCCUGUAUUGUAUGCCAUGUCCGAGAUCACAAGUGUCCAGCUCAUGUUUCAUAUGCUCUUCCCAACUUUUUCCAUUUGUCCUCCUUGGUGAUCCCAUUUUUAAAGGGUAAUACUAAUGGAGGUUAAAAAAUAAGGGUUUUCUGUGUUCUUUGGAGGCCUGGCAUGGGCAUAACCCUAGUCUUUGUGAAGUUUAUUGAUAUACAUGAUUCAUCUUGACACUUUUAGCUCUUUUUAGGUGUUUCAUUCGAUGUGCUUGCACCUGGUAUCAAGGCAAUUUUUAACUGUCUUUCCCGGUCAAAGAUCUGGCAAGAUAAUUGUUUAUCGUCAUUGAAAGUCCCUUAACCAGUGCUUCUACAUGUUAUGAUAUUUAAUGAGUUUUCUCUGUGAUUUGUACAGAAUUGCGCAAAAGAAGCCACCUGGUAUCGUCAUCGAUGGUCUCUGGGUGUAUAAAGGCCGGAAGACUAUCAAAUAUGAUGGUGUUCCUGGGUUUACCGCUGGUUCAACAUUUCUUGCGUUGGAAUUGUUGUCUUCUGUGGUCUCUACUUCGGAUUGUACGACUCUCUAAAGCCAGUUCUUUUGAAUGGUGAUUUAGCGGAUAGUUUCUUGCUUCUCCACAUGCUUGUGGUACAUCUAAGUGAAUGUUCAGAAGUACUCUAUUGUGCCAUAUCUUUCCAACUACGACCAAAAGUCUGUAUAUGAGUCACCAACACCGGCAAAAAUGAUUGUUCCUUUUCCGUCUUUUCCAACAGCUUGACAUGUUCAGCAGACCAAUGUGCAUUGUCCAAGUACAUUGUUGGGUCCUCUAUGGUAGAAUCCUAGGAUGGGAAGGUAGGGAUGACCAUGGAGUCUGAUCUCUGACUAGAUCAACUUCAGCAUCAGCUUCCUGCAAAUGAACCAGGCGCGCUUAUGCAACUUGUUGAGGGCACUACGGAGGAAGAUAAUAUAUCUUUAAGUGUGAAGGUAUUUGGGCUUAAGAAAAGCAGUACUCUGGUGAUAUUGUAGCUUGCAGAGGAAUUUGUUUAAGCAAGCGGAGUCUCGUUAUACUUCUGGUGGAGUUCAAUCUUACUCAUAUAUUAGUCUUUCUUUCCCUGUUUUUCAAUGCCUAUUUCAGUUGACACAAACUAGGUCACCCAACAAUUUAUGAACGGCAACAUAGAACAUUGUACGUCAAGUCACAAAAUUUUGGGACUUGAUGAUCA
Molecule: long non-coding RNA, 2143 nt
Organism: Papaver somniferum (opium poppy)
Lineage: Eukaryota; Viridiplantae; Streptophyta; Magnoliopsida; Ranunculales; Papaveraceae
Exons: 10
Source: RefSeq, a predicted model, not a curated record